This is a long non-coding RNA of Choloepus didactylus (southern two-toed sloth), 431 nucleotides long. RefSeq lists it as uncharacterized. The transcript is spliced from 3 exons. The record is from RefSeq and is a predicted model, not a curated record. Lineage: Eukaryota; Metazoa; Chordata; Mammalia; Pilosa; Megalonychidae.
CCACUCUUUGCAGAAUGCUAGCUUCCAUUUUCCCCAGCCAGCCGCCACCGUGAGACCAUCUCCUGUUGUGGUUAAUGUCCAGUUGGUCCUGCCUGAGAGAAGGACUCUCCAGUAGCUGUGAUUUCCUCAGCUCACCCCCAGGCAGGAGUGAUCCUGCCUUGGAAACCUUGGACAGAGCUGGCAUUACACUGUGUUUUCCUUAGAAACGAGUUACAAAGAAGACUGCAGACAUGAGGAAUCUGAAAUCUGGAGUUGAGAGACCAGAGACUGGAGCCAAGGGGGCUGUGCCAGAGAAGGCACAAAAACUUCUGCUUCCCAAGGGCCCUCCCGGUUUCCUGCCUUCCCAGGUCAUAAGUGUUGAACAGUUCCUGAGUUCAUGAGCUGCUCCAGGAGCCUUCCAAUAAAUUCCCUGUUGGCUUAAGCUAACCAGA